RNAcentral lists this ribosomal RNA (497 nucleotides) under uncultured bacterium. RNAcentral's name for it is "partial 16S ribosomal RNA". It matches the Rfam family "Bacterial small subunit ribosomal RNA", at positions 28 to 507 of the family's 1533-position model. The record is from RNAcentral.
GAUGAACGCUGGCGGCGUGCCUAAUACAUGCAAGUCGAGCGAACGGACGAGAAGCUUGCUUCUCUGAUGUUAGCGGCGGACGGGUGAGUAACACGUGGAUAACCUACCUAUAAGACUGGGAUAACUUCGGGAAACCGGAGCUAAUACCGGAUAAUAUUUUGAACCGCAUGGUUCAAAAGUGAAAGACGGUCUUGCUGUCACUUAUAGAUGGAUCCGCGCUGCAUUAGCUAGUUGGUAAGGUAACGGCUUACCAAGGCAACGAUGCAUAGCCGACCUGAGAGGCUGAUCGGCCACACUGGAACUGAGACACGGUCCAGACUCCUACGGGAGGCAGCAGUAGGGAAUCUUCCGCAAUGGGCGGAAGCAUGACGGAGCAACGCCGCGUGAGUGAUGAAGGUCUUCGGAUCGUAAAGCUCUGUUAUUAGGGAAGAACAGAUGUGUAAGUAACUGUGCACAUCUUGACGGUACCGAAUCAGAAAGCCACGGCUAACUACGUG